UGGGGGAUAUUGCACAAUGGAGGAAACUCUGAUGCAGCAACGCCGCGUGAGGGAAGAAGGUCUUCGGAUUGUAAACCUUAGUAGUCAGGGACGAAAGAAAUGACGGUACCUGAAGAGUAAGCUCCGGCUAACUACGUGCCAGCAGCCGCGGUAAUACGUAGGGAGCGAGCGUUGUCCGGAUUUACUGGGUGUAAAGGGUGCGUAGGCGGGACUGCAAGUCAGACGUGAAAUACCGAGGCUUAACUUCGGGGCUGCGUUUGAAACUGUGGUGCUUGAGUGAAGUAGAGCCAGGCGGAAUUCCUAGUGUAGCGGUGAAAUGCGUAGAUAUUAGGAGGAACACCAGUGGCGAAGGCGGCCUGCUGGGCUUUAACUGACGCUGAUGCACGAAAGCAUGGGGAGCAAACA
RNAcentral lists this ribosomal RNA (405 nucleotides) under uncultured bacterium. RNAcentral describes it as "bacterial SSU rRNA". It matches the Rfam family "Bacterial small subunit ribosomal RNA", at positions 355 to 774 of the family's 1533-position model. The record is from RNAcentral.